CCUACGGGGGGCAGCAGUGGGGAAUAUUGGACAAUGGGGGGAACCCUGAUCCAGCCAUGCCGCGUGUGUGAAGAAGGCCCUCGGGUUGUAAAGCACUUUCAGUGAGGAAGAACGCCUGGUGGUUAAUACCCAUCAGGAAAGACAUCACUCACAGAAGAAGCACCGGCUAACUCCGUGCCAGUAGCCGCGGUAAUACGGAGGGUGCGAGCGUUAAUCGGAAUUACUGGGCGUAAAGCGCGCGUAGGUGGCUUGAUAAGCCGGUUGUGAAAGCCCCGGGCUCAACCUGGGAACGGCAUCCGGAACUGUCAAGCUAGAGUGCAGGAGAGGAAGGUAGAAUUCCCGGUGUAGCGGUGAAAUGCGUAGAGAUCGGGAGGAAUACCAGUGGCGAAGGCGGCCUUCUGGACUGACACUGACACUGAGGUGCGAAAGCGUGGGUAGCAAACAGGAUUAGAUACCCGUGUAGUC
RNAcentral lists this ribosomal RNA (465 nucleotides) under Vreelandella stevensii. RNAcentral describes it as "partial 16S ribosomal RNA". It matches the Rfam family "Bacterial small subunit ribosomal RNA", at positions 338 to 795 of the family's 1533-position model. Lineage: Bacteria; Pseudomonadati; Pseudomonadota; Gammaproteobacteria; Oceanospirillales; Halomonadaceae. The record is from RNAcentral.